GUACCCGCUGAACUUAAGCAUAUCAAUAAGCGGAGGAAAAGAAAAUAACAAUGAUUACCCUAAUAACGGCGAGUGAAGCGGUAAAAGCUCAAAUUUGAAAUCUCUAAAGUUUUUACUUUAGCGAAUUGUAGUUUAAAGAACCAUUUUCUUGGAUUUACUGAGUAUAAGUCCUUUGGAACGAGGCAUCGUAGAGGGUGACAAUCCCGUUUAUGAUUCAGUUUUUUAAAUUCAUUUGUGAUAUGGUUUCUAAGAGUCGGGUUGUUUGGGAAUGCAGCCCUAAAUGGGAGGUAAAUACCUUCUAAAGCUAAAUAUUGACGAGAGACCGAUAGCGAACAAGUACCGUGAGGGAAAGAUGAAAAGAACUUUGAAAAGAGAGUUAAAUAGUACGUGAAAUUGUCAAUAGUGAACGGUUUGGAACUAUUGUAUGUAAAUUUCUAAUCAAUUACUCUUAGAGUAGUGCACUUAGAUUUUUUUACAGGUCAACAUCAGUUUGAUUUGAAGUAAAAAGCUUUCAAGUUUACAUUCUCUUUUGAGUGAAUUCUUAUUGUUAUACUUUGGAUUAGACUGAGGAAUAUAGUAUGGAUGGUGAACUAUUCGCCUUUUGAAGAUGGUUAAUAAACAAUUUAUUGAUUAUUUUGCAUUCUAAUUAAGCUCGUUUAGUAAGCCCCUGUUACUUUGGAUGUUGACGAAAUGGUUUUAAGCCACCCGUCUUGAAACACGGACCAAGGAGUCUAACAUAUCCGCGAGUAUUUGGGUGUCAAACCCAUAUGCGUAAUGAAAGUGAAUAAGAUGGGAUCCUUUUUCAUUAAAGGUGCACCAUCGACCGGUCUGGAUUUUUUUGAUAGAUCUGAGUUAGAGCGUACAUGUUAGGACCCGAAAGAUGGUGAACUAAGCCUGAAUAGGGUGAAGUCAGAGGAAACUCUGAUGGAAGCUCGUAGCGGUUCUGACGUGCAAAUCGAUCGUCGAAUUUGGGUUUAGGGGCGAAAGACUAAUCGAACCAUCUAGUAGCUGGUUCCCUCCGAAGUUUCCCUCAGGAU
This 1037-nucleotide ribosomal RNA is filed under the name Arkaya sp. JEL571. Its description in RNAcentral is "eukaryotic LSU rRNA". It matches the Rfam family "Eukaryotic large subunit ribosomal RNA", at positions 22 to 979 of the family's 3401-position model. The record is from RNAcentral. Lineage: Eukaryota; Fungi; Chytridiomycota; Chytridiomycetes; Polychytriales.